GUGUUUGCUUCAGCAAUGCAUAUACUAAAAUUGGAACGGCACAGAAAAGCUAGCAUGGCAGCUGCACAAGGGUAACAUGCAAAUUUGUGUAGCAUUCCAUAUUUUU
RNAcentral lists this small nuclear RNA (106 nucleotides) under Salvator merianae (Argentine black and white tegu). The record is from RNAcentral. Lineage: Eukaryota; Metazoa; Chordata; Lepidosauria; Squamata; Teiidae.